CAGACUCAAUAUCCUCCCAUUUUACCUCCAUUCUCUAUGCUAUUUCAAGAUGGAAUGGAUCCUCCUAAUGUGGAGGAAAGGACUCAAAAGUUCUUAAACUGGGGACAUCGUAAUCAGGAAUCUCUGGGUAGACUGUUUGCAACAUUCUUUAUUAAGUUGCAAUCUGUAGAAUUCCUUUGGAGGCAAGGGCUCU
Camelina sativa (false flax) is the source of this 193-nucleotide non-coding RNA. Lineage: Eukaryota; Viridiplantae; Streptophyta; Magnoliopsida; Brassicales; Brassicaceae. The record is from RefSeq and is a predicted model, not a curated record.